Molecule: long non-coding RNA, 617 nt
Organism: Oreochromis niloticus (Nile tilapia)
Lineage: Eukaryota; Metazoa; Chordata; Actinopteri; Cichliformes; Cichlidae
Source: Ensembl
AUGCUGCUGUUGCUCCUGCUCCUCACGAGCGUUUCCCAGCAUGCUCUGGCUGUGGUGGUGGAGGUAUAUGAGGGGGAGACUUCUGUCCUCUUGCACUAUGUUUACAAAGGUUCGAUACCUGAGGACAAUCCCACAGUGAUGUGGACUCGCAGUGACCUCAAUCCCAAAUCUGUCCACCUACAAGGAAAAGGAGGAGACGAUCUUAAAGGGCAAAACCAGCGCUACAGUGGGCGCACAUCAAUGAGUCGUUAUGCAUUAAACACAAAAGACUUCAGCCUCACUCUGAGGAAACCCAAACUGACUGACAGCGGUAUUUACACCUGCUCCAUCAGUGCUGGAGGAGGAGAACAGAGACUGAGUGACAUCCAGCUGCAGGUCAAAGGUCAAACCUGCUGCAUGAAAGAGUAAAAGUCAGGACAGUAGAUGAAGCUCAAAUAGUCCCAAAAGCAACAAGAAAGCCAAGUUUUUUCUGAAUAGUUCUGAAAGUCUUUGUAGGAGCCAUGAGUUGCUCUUUUUUGACUAAGUGUGUUGGUUUAAAUGGACUCACUGUAUUGGUGCACGGGUGUGGGGCGUGUCUCAUGGGUGUGUUAGAUGAUAAAUGUGGUUGCACUCACCUG